AACGAACGCUGGCGGCGCGUCUUACGCAUGCAAGUCGAACGGCAAGAGAGGAGCUUGCUUCUCUCCUAGAGUGGCGGACUGGUGAGGAACACGUGGGUAAUCUACCCUUAAGAUGGGGAUAGCUGCUAGAAAUAGCAGGUAAUACCGAAUACACUCGGCAUAUCACAAGAGGUGUUGAGGAAAGGAAGCUACGGCUUCGCUUGAGGAUGAGCUUGCGUCCCAUUAGCUAGUUGGUGAGGUAAAGGCCCACCAAGGCGACGAUGGGUAUCCGGCCUGAGAGGGUGAACGGACACAUUGGGACUGAGAUACGGCCCAAACUCCUACGGGAGGCAGCAGCUAAGAAUAUUCCGCAAUGGACGGAAGUCUGACGGAGCAACGCCGCGUGGAUGAAGAAGGCUGUAAAGUUGUAAAAUCCUUUUGUUGAUGAAGAAUAAGGGUGAGAGGGAAUGCUCAUCUGAUGACGGUAAUCGACGAAUAAGCCCCGGCUAAUUACGUG
Molecule: ribosomal RNA, 496 nt
Filed under: uncultured bacterium
Lineage: Bacteria
Description: partial 16S ribosomal RNA
Rfam family: Bacterial small subunit ribosomal RNA
Source: RNAcentral